AACUGCGAGUGAAGCGGGAAAAGCUCAAAUUUAAAAUCUGGCGGUUCUUGCCGUCCGAGUUGUAAUUUAGAGAAGCGUCUUCCGCGUCGGACCGUGCACAAGUCUCCUGGAACGGAGCGUCAUAGAGGGUGAGAAUCCCGUCUUUGGCACGGAUGCCCGGUGCUUCUGUGAUGCGCUCUCGAAGAGUCGAGUUGUUUGGGAAUGCAGCUCAAAAUGGGUGGUGAACUCCAUCUAAAGCUAAAUAUUGGCGAGAGACCGAUAGCGAACAAGUACCGUGAGGGAAAGAUGAAAAGCACUUUGGAAAGAGAGUGAAACAGUACGUGAAAUUGUUGAAAGGGAAACGCUUGAAGUCAGUCGCGUCGACCGAGACUCAGCCUUGCCUCGGCUUGGUGUACUUCUCGGCUGACGGGUCAGCAUCAAUUUUGCCCCUCGGAUAAUGGCAAGGGAAAGGUGGCACCUUUACGGGUGUGUUAUAGUCUCCUGUCGCAUGCGAGGGGUGGGAUUGAGGAACUCAGCACGCGCCUCGGUGUCGGGGCUUUU
This 540-nucleotide ribosomal RNA is filed under the name Lactarius sp. 3 HL-2018. RNAcentral describes it as "LSU rRNA". It matches the Rfam family "Eukaryotic large subunit ribosomal RNA", at positions 85 to 630 of the family's 3401-position model. The record is from RNAcentral. Lineage: Eukaryota; Fungi; Basidiomycota; Agaricomycetes; Russulales; Russulaceae.